Molecule: ribosomal RNA, 253 nt
Filed under: uncultured bacterium
Lineage: Bacteria
Description: partial 16S ribosomal RNA
Rfam family: Bacterial small subunit ribosomal RNA
Source: RNAcentral
UACGGAGGGUGCGAGCGUUAAUCGGAAUUACUGGGCGUAAAGGGUGCGUAGGUGGUUAAUUAAGUUAUCUGUGAAAUCCCUGGGCUCAACCUGGGCAGGUCAGAUAAAACUGUUUAACUCGAGUAUAGGAGAGGGCAGUGGAAUUUCCGGUGUAGCGGUGAAAUGCGUAGAGAUCGGAAGGAACACCAGUGGCGAAGGCGGCUACCUGGCCUAAUACUGACACUGAGGCACGAAAGCGUGGGGAGCAAACAGG